This 114-nucleotide non-coding RNA is filed under the name Cobetia sp. UCD-24C. RNAcentral describes it as "TPP riboswitch aptamer (THI element)". It matches the Rfam family "TPP riboswitch aptamer (THI element)". Rfam says of the family: Vitamin B(1) in its active form thiamin pyrophosphate (TPP) is an essential coenzyme that is synthesised by coupling of pyrimidine and thiazole moieties in bacteria. The previously detected thiamin-regulatory element, thi box was extended, resulting in a new, highly conserved RNA secondary structure, the THI element, which is widely distributed in eubacteria and also occurs in some archaea. Analysis of operon structures identified a large number of new candidate thiamin-regulated genes, mostly transporters, in various prokaryotic organisms. The record is from Rfam by way of RNAcentral. RNAcentral also lists the same sequence under 1 other name. Lineage: Bacteria; Pseudomonadati; Pseudomonadota; Gammaproteobacteria; Oceanospirillales; Halomonadaceae.
CGGCCUGGAUGGGGGUGCCCGAGGAUGGGCUGAGAGCCGCAGCGAUACGUCGCGCGACAACCCCUGGAACCUGAUCCGGUUGAUACCGGCGGAGGGAAUCCCCGACGCGUGCCC